RNAcentral lists this ribosomal RNA (467 nucleotides) under uncultured bacterium. RNAcentral describes it as "partial 16S ribosomal RNA". It matches the Rfam family "Bacterial small subunit ribosomal RNA", at positions 29 to 507 of the family's 1533-position model. The record is from RNAcentral.
ACGCACGCUGGCGGCGUGCUUAACACAUGCCAGUCGCACGGAAAGGCCCUGCUUUUGUGGGGUGCUCGAGUGGCGAACGGGUGAGUAACACGUGAGUAACCUGCCCUUGACUUUGGGAUAACUUCAGGAAACUGGGGCUAAUACCGGAUAGGAGCUCCUGCUGCAUGGUGGGGGUUGGAAAGUUUCGGCGGUUGGGGAUAGACUCGCGGCUUAUCAGCUUGUUGGUGGGGUAGUGGCUUACCAAGGCUUUGACGGGUAGCCGGCCUGAGAGGGUGACCGGCCACAUUGGGACUGAGAUACGGCCCAGACUCCUACGGGAGGCAGCAGUGGGGAAUAUUGCACAAUGGGCGGAAGCCUGAUGCAGCAACGCCGCGUGCGGGAUGACGGCCUUCGGGUUGUAAACCGCUUUCGCCUGUGACGAAGCGUGAGUGACGGUAAUGGGUAAAGAAGCACCGGCUAACUACGUG